This is a microRNA precursor of Monodelphis domestica (gray short-tailed opossum), 61 nucleotides long. Ensembl annotates it as mdo-mir-1306. The record is from Ensembl. NCBI's taxonomy places the organism in Eukaryota, Metazoa, Chordata, Mammalia, Didelphimorphia, Didelphidae.
CCACCUCCCCUGCAAACGUCCAGUGACGCAGACGUAAUGGACGUUGGCUCUGGUGGUGCUG